RNAcentral lists this ribosomal RNA (429 nucleotides) under Bacteroidota bacterium. RNAcentral describes it as "Bacteroidetes bacterium partial 16S ribosomal RNA". It matches the Rfam family "Bacterial small subunit ribosomal RNA", at positions 355 to 776 of the family's 1533-position model. The record is from RNAcentral. Lineage: Bacteria; Pseudomonadati; Bacteroidota.
UAGGGAAUCUUCGGCAAUGGGGGGAACCCUGACCGAGCAACGCCGCGUGAGUGAAGAAGGUUUUCGGAUCGUAAAGCUCUGUUGUUAAGGAAGAACGAGUGUGAGAAUGGAAAGUUCAUGCUGUGACGGUACUUAACCAGAAAGGGACGGCUAACUACGUGCCAGCAGCCGCGGUAAUACGUAGGUCCCGAGCGUUGUCCGGAUUUAUUGGGCGUAAAGCGAGCGCAGGCGGUUAGAAAAGUCUGAAGUGAAAGGCAGUGGCUCAACCAUUGUAGGCUUUGGAAACUGUUUAACUUGAGUGCAGAAGGGGAGAGUGGAAUUCCAUGUGUAGCGGUGAAAUGCGUAGAUAUAUGGAGGAACACCAGUUGCGAAGGCGACUCUCUGGUCUGUAACUGACGCUGAGGCUCGAAAGCGUGGGUAGCAAACAGG